UUAAGCGACUAAGCGUACACGGUGGAUGCCCUGGCAGUCAGAGGCGAUGAAGGACGUGCUAAUCUGCGAUAAGCGUCGGUAAGGUGAUAUGAACCGUUAUAACCGGCGAUUUCCGAAUGGGGAAACCCAGUGUGAUUCGUCACACUAUCAUUAACUGAAUCCAUAGGUUAAUGAGGCGAACCGGGGGAACUGAAACAUCUAAGUACCCCGAGGAAAAGAAAUCAACCGAGAUUCCCCCAGUAGCGGCGAGCGAACGGGGAGCAGCCCAGAGCCUGAAUCAGUGUGUGUGUUAGUGGAAGCGUCUGGAAAGGCGCGCGAUACAGGGUGACAGCCCCGUACACAAAAAUGCACAUGCUGUGAGCUCGAUGAGUAGGGCGGGACACGUGGUAUCCUGUCUGAAUAUGGGGGGACCAUCCUCCAAGGCUAAAUACUCCUGACUGACCGAUAGUGAACCAGUACCGUGAGGGAAAGGCGAAAAGAACCCCGGCGAGGGGAGUGAAAAAGAACCUGAAACCGUGUACGUACAAGCAGUGGGAGCACAGAGCAAUCUGUGUGACUGCGUACCUUUUUGUAUAAUGGGUCAGCGACUUAUAUUCUGUAGCAAGGUUAACCGAAUAGGGGAGCCGAAGGGAAACCGAGUCUUAACUGGGCGUUAAGUUGCAGGGUAUAGACCCGAAACCCGGUGAUCUAGCCAUGGGCAGGUUGAAGGUUGGGUAACACUAACUGGAGGACCGAACCGACUAAUGUUGAAAAAUUAGCGGAUGACUUGUGGCUGGGGGUGAAAGGCCAAUCAAACCGGGAGAUAGCUGGUUCUCCCCGAAAGCUAUUUAGGUAGCGCCUCGUGAAUUCAUCUCCGGGGGUAGAGCACUGUUUCGGCAAGGGGGUCAUCCCGACUUACCAACCCGAUGCAAACUGCGAAUACCGGAGAAUGUUAUCACGGGAGACACACGGCGGGUGCUAACGUCCGUCGUGAAGAGGGAAACAACCCAGACCGCCAGCUAAGGUCCCAAAGUCAUGGUUAAGUGGGAAACGAUGUGGAAGGCCCAGACAGCCAGGAUGUUGGCUUAGAAGCAGCCAUCAUUUAAAGAAAGCGUAAUAGCUCACUGGUCGAGUCGGCCUGCGCGGAAGAUGUAACGGGGCUAAACCAUGCACCGAAGCUGCGGCAGCGACGCUGAUGCGUUGUUGGGUAGGGGAGCGUUCUGUAAGCCUGCGAAGGUGUGCUGUGAGGCAUGCUGGAGGUAUCAGAAGUGCGAAUGCUGACAUAAGUAACGAUAAAGCGGGUGAAAAGCCCGCUCGCCGGAAGACCAAGGGUUCCUGUCCAACGUUAAUCGGGGCAGGGUGAGUCGACCCUAAGGCGAGGCCGAAAGGCGUAGUCGAUGGGAUACAGGUUAAUAUUCCUGUACUUGGUGUUACUGCGAAGGGGGACGGAGAAGGCUAUGUUGGCCGGGCGACGGUUGUCCCGGUUUAAGCGUGUAGGCUGGUUUUCCAGGCAAAUCCGGAAAAUCAAGGCUGAGGCGUGAUGACGAGGCACUACGGUGCUGAAGCAACAAAUGCCCUGCUUCCAGGAAAAGCCUCUAAGCAUCAGGUAACAUCAAAUCGUACCCCAAACCGACACAGGUGGUCAGGUAGAGAAUACCAAGGCGCUUGAGAGAACUCGGGUGAAGGAACUAGGCAAAAUGGUGCCGUAACUUCGGGAGAAGGCACGCUGAUAUGUAGGUGAAGUCCCUCGCGGAUGGAGCUGAAAUCAGUCGAAGAUACCAGCUGGCUGCAACUGUUUAUUAAAAACACAGCACUGUGCAAACACGAAAGUGGACGUAUACGGUGUGACGCCUGCCCGGUGCCGGAAGGUUAAUUGAUGGGGUCAGCGCAAGCGAAGCUCUUGAUCGAAGCCCCGGUAAACGGCGGCCGUAACUAUAACGGUCCUAAGGUAGCGAAAUUCCUUGUCGGGUAAGUUCCGACCUGCACGAAUGGCGUAAUGAUGGCCAGGCUGUCUCCACCCGAGACUCAGUGAAAUUGAACUCGCUGUGAAGAUGCAGUGUACCCGCGGCAAGACGGAAAGACCCCGUGAACCUUUACUAUAGCUUGACACUGAACAUUGAGCCUUGAUGUGUAGGAUAGGUGGGAGGCUUUGAAGUGUGGACGCCAGUCUGCAUGGAGCCGGCCUUGAAAUACCACCCUUUAAUGUUUGAUGUUCUAACGUUGACCCGUAAUCCGGGUUGCGGACAGUGUCUGGUGGGUAGUUUGACUGGGGCGGUCUCCUCCUAAAGAGUAACGGAGGAGCACGAAGGUUGGCUAAUCCUGGUCGGACAUCAGGAGGUUAGUGCAAUGGCAUAAGCCAGCUUGACUGCGAGCGUGACGGCGCGAGCAGGUGCGAAAGCAGGUCAUAGUGAUCCGGUGGUUCUGAAUGGAAGGGCCAUCGCUCAACGGAUAAAAGGUACUCCGGGGAUAACAGGCUGAUACCGCCCAAGAGUUCAUAUCGACGGCGGUGUUUGGCACCUCGAUGUCGGCUCAUCACAUCCUGGGGCUGAAGUAGGUCCCAAGGGUAUGGCUGUUCGCCAUUUAAAGUGGUACGCGAGCUGGGUUUAGAACGUCGUGAGACAGUUCGGUCCCUAUCUGCCGUGGGCGCUGGAGAACUGAGGGGGGCUGCUCCUAGUACGAGAGGACCGGAGUGGACGCAUCACUGGUGUUCGGGUUGUCAUGCCAAUGGCACUGCCCGGUAGCUAAAUGCGGAAGAGAUAAGUGCUGAAAGCAUCUAAGCACGAAACUUGCCCCGAGAUGAGUUCUCCCUGACUCCUUGAGAGUCCUGAAGGAACGUUGAAGACGACGACGUUGAUAGGCCGGGUGUGUAAGCGCAGCGAUGCGUUGAGCUAACCGGUACUAAUGAACCGUGAGGCUUAACCUU
Molecule: ribosomal RNA, 2902 nt
Filed under: Escherichia coli DEC12D
Lineage: Bacteria; Pseudomonadati; Pseudomonadota; Gammaproteobacteria; Enterobacterales; Enterobacteriaceae
Description: bacterial LSU rRNA
Rfam family: Bacterial large subunit ribosomal RNA
Source: RNAcentral